AUGGCUGGGGUGCCGGGCGAUCUAGCGGCUCGUCCUGCCCUUGAUUUCUGCAUGGUGGCCUCCACUGGAGAGACUGAGCGAUUGCGUGAGCUUUUCACUGCUCGCUCGGUUGUCGCCUGGGUUGAAGAAGGGGAAAGGGUGGAGGCGAGCACAUUUGCUGAUGAUGUGCGCACUGCAUUCCGCAUCCGCCGCUCUGAUAUCCAAGUCACGAAGUUCCAUCCUGAAGAUUUCUUUCUCACGCUCACUAAUCAUAGUGAUCGGGAGGCCAUCCUGCAAGAACCAAGACUGAUGCUGAGAAAUGGCCGUGUGUAUCGCUUCCGUCCAUGGGACGAGAGGCGCGGUGCUGAAUGCGUCGACGUUCGCUUCAGGUAUACAGAUGCAAUUGCGGCAAAGAUCAUCGGCAAGAAGAGCUCCAUCCACUACAUUGAAGAAUACUCAAGGCGUCGAAACUACAACCGCACUUUUGACUAUUGGGUAUGGAGCUCAGACCCGAGCUCUAUCCCACGAGCAACAAGGUUGACAAUCACGUCAGCAGACGAGGAGGGGCUCCCAGUUGACACUCCCUUCCCGGAGCUGGAAGCUGUGCAUCCUGCCCCUUCUGACACAAAAAAGGUCUCACCUAUCAUGUUCUUAUUCAUAUUGACACUUUGCAAGACCUGGUGUCCCGACAGGUCCGCUGCUUCCAGUGGCAAGCAGGGAGCCGGACAGGGGCGAUCGCCCGCAGUACAAUCAAGACAACAGAGGGCGGUAGAGAAGCAGAGCUACAGACGAGAGCCGAAGCCGAAGCCGAAGCCGCCAUCUCUCGCGCUCUGUAGAGCCGGGAGAAACAAGACUGCGCAAUCAAGAGAGUCUACCCCCGCGGCUAAGGAGAAGGUGAUUGUGCAGGUCCAGUCCCCCUGCAAAACCCCUCCUCCUUACCGAAAUGAUAGCCCUGAUAGGGGUUCGGCCUGCAACAGAAUUUCUUCCUCCGUGACACCUGCUGAUCUGACUUUUUCUUCGCAGGAUUCGGGUGCGAUCCUCAAGUUGCUGGAGAAACACCUGGAUCCCAUGCUCCAUGAAGCUUCCAUCCGCAACAUCGUCUACUCUCCAGACACUUCCUCGUCGGCACCUGCUUCCCCUGUUUUC
This 1125-nucleotide long non-coding RNA is filed under the name Oryza sativa aromatic subgroup. RNAcentral's name for it is "lncRNA OsARC_03g0025220". The record is from RNAcentral. Lineage: Eukaryota; Viridiplantae; Streptophyta; Magnoliopsida; Poales; Poaceae.